RNAcentral lists this ribosomal RNA (459 nucleotides) under uncultured bacterium. Its description in RNAcentral is "partial 16S ribosomal RNA". It matches the Rfam family "Bacterial small subunit ribosomal RNA", at positions 338 to 795 of the family's 1533-position model. The record is from RNAcentral.
CCUACGGGUGGCAGCAAUGAGGAAUAUUGGUCAAUGGGCGCGAGCCUGAACCAGCCAAGUCGCGUGAGGGAAGACGGUCCUAUGGAUUGUAAACCUCUUUUGUCGGGGAGCAAAAGACGCCACGCGUGGCGUUCCGAGAGUACCCGAAGAAAAAGCAUCGGCUAACUCCGUGCCAGCAGCCGCGGUAAUCCGGAGGAUGCGAGCGUUAUCCGGAUUGAUUGGGUUUAAAGGGUGCGCAGGCGGAAGAUCAAGACAGCGGUAAAAUUGAGACGCUCCCCCUCUUCGAGCCGUUGAAACUGGCUUUCUUGAGUGAGCGAGAAGUAUGCGGCAUGCGUGGUGUAGCGGUGAAAUGCAUAGAUAUCACGCAGAACUCCGAUUGCGAAGGCAGCAUACCGGCGCUCAACUGACGCUCAUGCACGACAGUGUGGGUAUCGAACAGGAUUAGCUACCCUGGUAGUC